CUAAAAGAUUGUUCACCACAACACUAUUGUAGUGAGUAACUAAUGGAUGAUGGGAACAAUUAAUUGGAUUAAUUAUGUGUUGUGAUUAAUUUAGAAAAGUCUAAAGAAAUCAUAAAAGCGAUAAAGAUCGUUUUGGGCUUAAAGAAACGUUCGGGUUUAAUUAGGCCCAUUGGGCCUAAACCCAUUGGGCUUUCAUUCAAGCAUUGGAUGACUUGAAAUAAUAAAAGCCCAAAGCCCAAAAACAACACAAGAGGGCCGGCCAUAUUAUGUGGGUUUUGGAGAGAUAUUUAGUCAAGUGUUGACUAGGUUUUCUUUUUGUCUAUAUAAGCAACUUUAUAAGAUAUUGUUCAUGAGGGUUUUUUUGUGAGUUUUGAACAACA
RNAcentral lists this long non-coding RNA (380 nucleotides) under Malus domestica (apple). RNAcentral's name for it is "long non-coding RNA (MDOM_LNC005889)". Lineage: Eukaryota; Viridiplantae; Streptophyta; Magnoliopsida; Rosales; Rosaceae. The record is from RNAcentral.